Molecule: long non-coding RNA, 436 nt
Organism: Gorilla gorilla gorilla (western lowland gorilla)
Lineage: Eukaryota; Metazoa; Chordata; Mammalia; Primates; Hominidae
Exons: 3
Source: RefSeq, a predicted model, not a curated record
UGCCUUGUGAAAAAGGUGUCUGCUUUCCCUUCGCCUUCCGCCAUGAUUGUUAAGUUUUCUGAGGCCUCCUAGCCACACUUCCUGGUUUUUGUCCCUCUCUUAAAGUGAAUGGUCACAGAGCCAUGAACAGGUGGAAGAUGCAGGUGGAGGCAUCUUCCUUGUCACCGUUGGUAUGUCUGGUUGAAACCUGCAACAAGAGGCAGCACUGUGUCGCAUGGCUCCAGAGAGCACCACUCUCCUUGUGUUCUAUGCAACAUGCCCACGAGUUAUGCAUUGCAGCACCUGGCCGUAAAUCAUCACCAACCCUAUGGAUGAAGCAACACCCCAGGGAGGGUGGAGAAGUACAGGGGAAGGAGCCAGGGCCCCCAUGAAACAAACAUUUCUUCCAGGAAUUUCCCAAGCCCAGACCAUUGCAUGAAAAGAGAAAUAAAAUACU